CGCACCGCAAGGGGCCGGGGCCCAAAGGCGCGGUCCAGGAGUCCGGGGUGGUCGGGCGUGGAGCCACGCGACUCCUCGGGCCGGGUGCCGGCUGGGCGCCCGCGGGGACUGGCCCGGCGCCACGCGCGGUGGCAAGUAGGCCUGAGGCUCUUGCUCCCGCUUCACGGAGCAGCCGAGGUCCACACUCGUUUAUAAUGCCAACCGCGGGCGCAGCUGCCUGUCCGAGCUGGCCUGUCCGUUUCCCGCGUCACAGGCCCCGCUUGCUUCCGAGCAGUCUUACCUUCCUGUGUCCAAGGACCUUGCAUGCUUCGCCAUGAACUCACAACGAGGGAACGCUGGCUGCAGAGAGGGGCAGAUCUGAGUAUGAAUCCUGGCUCUGACACUUAUUAGUCUGUGACCUUGGGUAUGUCACUUAACAGUGAUGAAAAUUAGUUACUCAUCUGUGAUGAGCGAAGAUGUCUGCUUUCCUUACUUAUGCAGUAGCUGUGAGGAUUAAAUGGAAUUUUUCAGUGCCUAUGGCAGGUAUGUGUGUGUGUGUGUAUAUAUAUAUAUUUGUAUAUAUAUGAUUUUUUAUAUUUUAAUUUUAUAUUUUUAUAUUAUAUAUAUAUAUAUAUUUUCCCCCUUUGGUAAUUAAAGCUGUCUACUCAUUGUUCCCUGAAGGCACCUACCUCUUUUGUGAUUUUUUUACCUUCACAUACAGCUCAUGCCCAUUCUGCUUCUUACAUUCCAUUCCACUCAUAACACCUUUCCCUCUCUUCUCUACCUCAGAUCUUAACUGCUGUCUGAAGUCAGGCUUGACUCCACAUUGCUUGUCAAGAACCUCUUGACCCUUCCAGACCAGGUCCUUAUUUUCUGAAGGAGCCAUCAGGGGUCUGUGGCAUUGAGGUUAUCACUGGAGAAGCCCUCAUGGUGUUGGAGGGGCCCCCGGAAUGUCAGCUUUGCCCAGGAGAUAAGCAAUCCUCGGGGUGUCAGAGCAGGGGAAGCAGUGGGAUCCCAGCUCUGGGAUGGGGAUUGGGUGAAACAAUGGAGACGCUAAGUCUAAGCAGAGAGAAAUGACACUGGAAACUGCUGGCUAGAGUCCUGUUCUUCUGCCUGUCACUUUUUUUUUUUUAAUGGACAAAUUAUAUGUGUUAUUUGAACAUCAGUUUUCUUAUCUCCAAAUUGGGUUCCAUACAGAAUGUUUUCUUCCCUCUUAUCCUUCCUGAAAAUGUAAAGUCCAGAGAGCCAGAGCCUUGUUUUAUUUUCAAUGUAGUACUUAUGUCCAGCUCUUAAUGUACUACCUAACUCCUAGUAGGCACAAAAUACACAUGUUGAAAAAUGAAAUGAGUGUAAAAUAAGAAAACAUAGGUGUACAUGUUUGUAAACUUCAGUAUAAAACAAGUGGAAUGUAUUUGCUCACCACCUCCAACUUAGCAUAGAUCUCUGUAUGGAACAAUCAUAUAGUUUAUGUUAGUUGAUAGGCUUCAUAUCUUAUAUGGAAUGUGGAGCAUAUGUGAGGUUGUUUUAAUCAAAAUGUGGAGUCUCUGACAGCAGGGUAAUGGAUUUCUUAUGUCAGACCAGCGUCUAUAAAUCUUGCCUUCAGGUAGUCUAACAUCAAAAGGCAGAUAGGUACUAUGCAUGCCUCUAUCUGCCUUCUCUACACUCAAGGGAGGGAUUGCUGAUAGUGAUGAGCCUGGACAUGGCCUCCACAUUCUUGAAUAAAACCAUUUUACAGGUGGCUGCUACCA
This 1727-nucleotide long non-coding RNA is filed under the name Canis lupus dingo (dingo). Its description in RNAcentral is "lncRNA (ENSCAFG00020011217.1)". Lineage: Eukaryota; Metazoa; Chordata; Mammalia; Carnivora; Canidae. The record is from RNAcentral.